This 400-nucleotide ribosomal RNA is filed under the name uncultured bacterium. Its description in RNAcentral is "bacterial SSU rRNA". It matches the Rfam family "Bacterial small subunit ribosomal RNA", at positions 356 to 773 of the family's 1533-position model. The record is from RNAcentral.
GGGGAAUCUUGCACAAUGGGCGAAAGCCUGAUGCAGCGACGCCGCGUGGAGGAUGAAGGCCUUCGGGUCGUAAACUCCUGUCUGGGGGGAUGAACACUGACAGUACCCCCGGAGGAAGCCCCGGCUAACUACGUGCCAGCAGCCGCGGUAAUACGUAGGGGGCGAGCGUUGUCCGGAAUUACUGGGCGUAAAGCGCGCGCAGGCGGCCUAUUAAGUCAGGUGUUAAAAUGCGGAGCUUAACUCCGUAUCGCACUUGAAACUGGUAGGCUUGAGUGCAGGAGAGGGAAGUGGAAUUCCCAGUGUAGCGGUGAAAUGCGUAGAUAUUGGGAGGAACACCAGUGGCGAAGGCGACUUCCUGGACUGUAACUGACGCUCAGGCGCGAAAGCUAGGGGAGCAAAC